Molecule: ribosomal RNA, 253 nt
Filed under: uncultured bacterium
Lineage: Bacteria
Description: partial 16S ribosomal RNA
Rfam family: Bacterial small subunit ribosomal RNA
Source: RNAcentral
UACAGAGGGGGCAAGCGUUGUUCGGAAUUACUGGGCGUAAAGGGCGCGUAGGCGGCCUGUUAAGUCGGACGUGAAAUCCCUCGGCUCAACUCGGGAACUGCGUCCGAUACUGGCGGGCUUGAAUCCGGGAGAGGGAUGCGGAAUUCCAGGUGUAGCGGUGAAAUGCGUAGAUAUCUGGAGGAACACCGGUGGCGAAGGCGGCAUCCUGGACCGGUAUUGACGCUGAGGCGCGAAAGCUAGGGGAGCAAACGGG